RNAcentral lists this ribosomal RNA (341 nucleotides) under uncultured eukaryote. RNAcentral's name for it is "partial 18S ribosomal RNA". It matches the Rfam family "Eukaryotic small subunit ribosomal RNA", at positions 1470 to 1796 of the family's 1831-position model. The record is from RNAcentral.
CCCUUAGAUGUUCUGGGCCGCACGCGCGCUACACUGACGAAUUCAACGAGCUUUUACUAUAUUUGUAGUAAAUUCCUUUAUCGGAAGAUAUGGGUAAUCUUUAAAUGUUUGUCGUGAUGGGGCUAGAUUUUUGCAAUUAUUAAUCUCCAACGAGGAAUUCCUAGUAAACGCAAGUCAUCAGCUUGCAUUGAAUACGUCCCUGCCCUUUGUACACACCGCCCGUCGCACCUACCGAUUGAAUGGUCCGGUGAAAUCUCCGGACUGGCGUGAGUCGGAGCAAUCUGACAAACACCGGAAAGUUGAUUAAACCUUACCAUUUAGAGGAAGGAGAAGUCGUAACA